This is an RNA transcript of Impatiens glandulifera, 4724 nucleotides long. RefSeq lists it as uncharacterized. Lineage: Eukaryota; Viridiplantae; Streptophyta; Magnoliopsida; Ericales; Balsaminaceae. The record is from RefSeq and is a predicted model, not a curated record. The transcript is spliced from 5 exons.
AGAUAAUCUUGUUAAUCUUUACCCUUUUGCAAAUUGCCGAUUACUUUAAUGGAGAUGAGCCAGAUGAGAGACGAUAAGGCCGUCGUGUUUCCUAUCUUGAAGAGAUUCAUUGAUUAUGAUCGCAUUCUAGUAUUCGGAUGGGACGGCCAUUGUUUCAUCUUAGAAAACCUGAUGCCGGAGGACUGGUGUUUGGUGUGUUCUCCGGAGGACAGACGGUGGCGUUGCACGUAAUGGAAGAACGAGCUGAGAGUGGUGAUGAUCAUGUUCAUUCUACCAGCUCUUCUUCUUCUUCUUCUUCUUCGUCGUCCAUAGGAAGAAAUAGUGACUCGUCCCGAGAGGUAUCUGACGGUGAGCAUGAUUCCGAUCAAGGUGAGGUGCAGAGUUUGUACAAAGGACCAUUGGAUGCUUUAGAUGACUUGGAGGAAGUGUUACCAAUUAAGAGAAGUGUGUCCCAAUUUUAUAGAGGGAAAUCAAAGUCUUUCGCAAGUUUGUCACAGGCUGCCUCCUGUUCCUCCAUCAACGAAAUUGUGAAGCCUGAAAAUGCUUACACCAGGAAACGUAGGAAUUUACUUGCUUGUAGUAUUUGGGACAAAAAGCGAGAUAGACCACUAAGAAGCAGCAAAGGGGGCAUAUCUAAGAAACCAGCUUGUAGAAGCACCUUGGCUCUUGCAGUUAGCAUGAGCAACUUGGAGAGUCAAAAUAAUGAUGAAAAUCCCAUUUCUAGUUCCUCAUCACCUAUUAUUUCACGUCCUCCUUUAUAUCCUCACAAUAGAAGAUCACCCCGUGGAUCAUCACCACCUCCUUCUCCACGGAAUAUAUCUCCAUGGCGAUCUUUCUCACUGUCUGACCUGCACCGUGUGGAAGCUACUGAUAUCAGAAAUGACUGGCCCUGAAAUGAAUGCAGUGUUGUCUUUGAAUCUUUUUGUGUGGAAAUUCGAGUUCAAGAUUCAGAAUAUUCUCCCUUGGUUGCAUUCAUAAUCUCCUUUCCAGGUCUCAUGGAUCUACUUUACUAUCCUUGAAUCUAUCAUGUACAGUUUAUAGUGAUAAAAUGCUGGAUAUAAGCUUACUAAACAUGUUGUACUGUAUGCUGUAUCCUAUCACUCCUUAUCAACAUGAUGUACCUUUUCCCACCUUUCUUUUUACUGCUCCCUUACAUGAUAAUGAACAAAUAAAUAUUAGGGUUUUUACUGCUCCUUAUAAAAUAUAUUGAACUACUAGUCUAAUACUAUAUAUUCACAUUGAGAGCCAUUAUGUAAGGCAUGACAUUGAAUACAAGGAAAAUUGUCUUAAAUCUCUUCUAUUUUUCUCUUUGGUCUCAUCUCCUUUUUUGAAUCCUCAACCCUAGAUUUUUCUUUCCUUAAGAUAACUCAAUUUCUUUAUAUUUUUCUUACUGAACCUUGCACCAUUUGAAAUUGAAGUGAUGAUAUCAAUUCUCAAGUCCUGUGAAAAAUGAGUUGUGUUUAGAAGGUUGCCAACUUGCAGGUUGAUAGGCUUCUUGAGGAAUUUUGGCACUUUAGCUAAAUGCUCUUGAGGUAGAUGAUUGCAGUAAAUCUGUCUGUGUUGAAAACCCUCCAACAAAUCCCCAACUACUCUCAAGAAGAUUAAACAGCAAAGAAGUUUUACAAUAAGCAAAGUAUAUCCUCUGUCAAGUGAAGAAUGGCCUAUCCAUGGUCAAGAAAGUGGAGAUAAUUCAAGGUUAUACUCCAAUUCAUCACAAAUAUGCCAGUAAUUCAAGCUGUCUCUGUUAUCUGGUGGCUUUUUGAGGAGUUUUAGCACUUUAUCCUAUCUAGCUCUUGAGGAAGAUGAUUGUGGGAAAUCUAUCCGAGUUGAAACCUCUCUCUCCAACCAAUCCCACCUAUUAUCAAGAGGUUAGACAGAAAAGGAGUUCAGUCUAUACAAUUUGUACAAUGAGCAAAAUAUAUCCUCUGCCAAUGGAAGAAUAGCCUAUUCUUCGUGUGAUAAUGGUUUGACUUCCCUUAUAUAAUAGAAAAAAAUAUUGGAUAGAGAAAAUUUCUGAUGUAAUUUUUGGAUACCUUUUCUAAGCAUGAUUAAUGGAAAUGCUGGUAAUUUUUCAUUGGAGAUAAUUCAAGGUUAUACUCCAAUUCAGCAGAAUUAUGCUAGUAAUUCAAGCUGUCUCUGUUAUCUAGUAUGAUACAGUGGCUUCACUUUCUUGAAUCUGGCUUCUGUUGGAAGUGCAGAUGUAGCACUCAGACCAAUAAUAUACCUUUGUUGUUCCUCUCUAGGAUACUAUACUGAAGAUUUUUGUUGGUUGACAACAAUACUAUGCAUUUUUUCCUUUAAACGGACUUGAAACUGAUAAUUUAGCCAUUUUCUUUAAAUUUUAAACAUGACUAUGUUUUGAUUAAUCGUUUUGUAUAUCAUCAUCAUCGACUUUCAAGAAAAGGGUAGUUUAACUUGCAAUUCUAUAAUUUCUUUUAUAUAAAAAUUGCAAGCAUUUCGUCAAAAUAGAUCCUCUUUUUUCACCUUAGUAGUCUUAUGCAAGUCAGGGAAAAGAAUCGUUGGGAUAAUACCUCCUAUAAUCUCAUCUCCAAAAUACUUGCAAUUUUGAUCACUUUUAAUUUAUUAGUAGGUGUUGAAAAGAAAUUUGAUGAUUUUAAAUGGAACACUAAUGUGGUGAUCGAUGUAGUAUUUAUUAGAAAACAUUCAUCAUUAUUGCUCUUCAUAUCAAAAGUAGAUAGCGACAAAUUAUUAAUGAUUCCGUUGAAGGGACUUUUAAGAGCUAUUGUCGUACGUGCAUAAAUGCUGGACAUACUAGGUUCCAUCAUGUUAGUAGAUGGAAAGAUUAUAGAAGCUCGUCUAAGUUAGUGAAAUCUUCUUAUAUUGUUAGAGAUUGCAUAAUUGAUAAACAAACAAAAAAUGCAUUUCACGGUUGUCGUCUUACAUAAAAGGAGUCUGGUAUUUUGGCAGUUUGUGAUUUCACGGUUGUCGUCUUGUGAAAUAGAGUCUAGUUUUUUGCCAGUUUGUGAUUUCACGGUUGUCGGUUUGUGAAAAUGAGUUGAUUACGCACAAACUUUAGGAUACAAACUUUGGUUUAAUUAAAUUAUUAUUAGAUUUGCUUCACUAUUUUGUAGCUUGUUACAACAUUUCAUAAAUUUUCUCAUAUUUCCAUCCCAGAUUAGUUCUAGGUAUGAUGCAUAGUUUUCAAGUCUUUGAGGAUCAUGUAUUUGAUUAAACUUGAUCCGUUGUUUAUCCAAGCAGUAGAAGAAAUUGGAGUUGUGUUUUGGUUCCUUUGCGCUCAUUUCAUGAUAGACACGCGUAAGAUUUCAAAAAGGUUGAGUAAUCCUAUUCUAAGCGAAAAAGAAGAUUUAUUCAUACAAUCCAGUCAGAUUACGGUAAUCUCAUUGAAUGCAUUAAUGACACCACCUUCCCUAAGAAGAUUUUUUUCUUUAUAAAGAUUCCAAAGCAAUUAUAGCUUUUUAUUUCUUAUGGUAGAGUCCUUAAUAUGAAUUUAAGCAUACAGGAUUACUGCUUUUAGUGGUUGGGGAUGUAUUUUAUUUCUUUUUAAGUUGGCUAUAAAUUCGAGUCUCCCUCUCGUCGACGAGAACUCAACAUUUUCGCUCAGAUUCAUGAGAUCAGAAUAAAAAAUCGGAGUUUGAUUGUGAAUUGCCUUCAGGUUUUCCAAAAUGAAUUUUUUUAUGGUUGAUGCUCCUUUAUCUGUACAUAUAUCCCCAGAAGAGUACAAGGUCUUUUAUGCAAUGGACAGGGAGCUUUAUGCUGUUCUUAUAAACGAUCUAUGGCGAGAUCCAGUAGAAUCGAUGAGAAUCAUGGCCCUUUGGCUCUGGUUGGAGCGAUCUGGCUUCAAUGGUAUUGUCAAAAAAAUCUUAUCCUUCCCAUCAGUGCUAAUCAAUGAACUUGCUGAUGAAGCUCUCAUAUCUCUGAAAUAUCUUGAUAAAAACAAAAUUAAUGAUGCUGAAACAACCCCUGUAACUGUACGUGUACCUGCUGAGGAUAAUUUCCCACUCACCCAAAAUUUCGUGGACAGUAAAAUCUCAGCUAGGUUUUUUCACAAGAACAGGCUCUUGGCUAUCCCAGGAAUUUCCAAGAUGAUCAGCAAUGUUUGUGUUAAGGCAUUGACAGACAUCAUGGAUCAAGCCAUGGAGAGAAACCUUCUCCAGUAUAUGAGUUUGAUGCGUGUGAGCCCGCCAGUCCUGCCCAUGGCUGCUGCUACUGCAGGGUUUGAGUUUGACCCGCCUGGGAGAGAAAUAGGUCUGCAUCCAGAUGAAAGGACAAUGUUUGUGACUUUCUCUAAAGGCUACCCUGUGAAUGAAAUGGAAAUCAGAGAUUUCUUUGCCAAGUUUUUUGGGGAUAGGAUUGAGUCACUCUUCAUGCAAGAAGUGCUUCCUGGGGAGCAGUCUUUGUUUGCUAGAAUCGUGUUUUAUUCACCCGAUUCUAUUCCUCUGAUUUUAAAUGGUGCAGAAAAGGUGAAGUUCUCCAUCAAUGGGAAACAUGUCUGGAUGCGCAAAUAUGUGGCGAAACGCCAGCAGCAGCAGAAGUCAUUGGCCUCCCCAUCCUCUCCUCCAUUGCUGUCGUCUCCCAACAUUUCUCAGUCCCUGUUUGCUCGUCACUUUGUCUAAGUUCAAUCUUAGUUCAAUCUAAGUUCAAUGUAACCUUAACCAACAAUAGAAAUGUCUGUGUGUAGACUAUGUUGUCUCUAAAAACUUAAUCAAUGGCUGCCAGCAAGAAUUGUGUUUCUCAUUUUUCUU